RNAcentral lists this ribosomal RNA (277 nucleotides) under uncultured bacterium. RNAcentral describes it as "partial 16S ribosomal RNA". It matches the Rfam family "Bacterial small subunit ribosomal RNA", at positions 334 to 627 of the family's 1533-position model. The record is from RNAcentral.
GAAACCUACGGGGGGCAGCAGUGGGGAAUAUUGCACAAUGGGGGAAACCCUGAUGCAGCGACGCCGCGUGAGUGAAGAAGUAUUUCGGUAUGUAAAGCUCUAUCAGCAGGGAAGAAGAAAGACGGUACCUGACUAAGAAGCCCCGGCUAACUACGUGCCAGCAGCCGCGGUAAUACGUAGGGGGCAAGCGUUAUCCGGAUUUACUGGGUGUAAAGGGAGCGUAGACGGAGAAGCAAGUCUGAAGUGAAAGCCCGUGGCUUAGCCACGGGACUGCUUU